Molecule: non-coding RNA, 23 nt
Filed under: Arabidopsis thaliana (thale cress)
Lineage: Eukaryota; Viridiplantae; Streptophyta; Magnoliopsida; Brassicales; Brassicaceae
Source: RNAcentral
AUGUUUUCGAGCCUGUGUGCUUA